This 1501-nucleotide long non-coding RNA is filed under the name Heterocephalus glaber (naked mole-rat). RNAcentral's name for it is "lncRNA (ENSHGLG00100040099.1)". The record is from RNAcentral. Lineage: Eukaryota; Metazoa; Chordata; Mammalia; Rodentia; Bathyergidae.
CGGGGAGCCUCGCUAGCUCGGCCCAGCCCGAGGGUCAGCACUUCUCCUGGGGAGCCCAGUGGGCGGGAUGCCCUGAGGAGCCGCUCCGGAGAGUACAGUGCGCAGGCGCAGGUUUCGGGAGCCUGGCUGCCCAGGCCAGUUGGGAAGAGAGGGCGUCCGCAGGAGAAGCGGGUGCUGGCGAUUGAUUUAAGUUAAUUAGCAGCAAAAGUAGGUGAAAUUCCGAGAGAGCCAGCCAGAGUGGCAGGGCAGAAUGCGAAGCCCAGUUCCCUGCAGGAGAGCCCGGCCUUGCUUCCUGGGCUGCAGGAAGCUCAGGGGAGGGAGGGGAAGGGUCUGCUCCUCGGCGCGGCCUCACCUCUGAGAAACCGUCCAGAGGAAAUGGUCUGAAGCUCGGAGGAGGCGGGGCUCAGAGGAGGAGUAAGCAGGUGUCACAGAGCUGUCUCGGGAACAAACCGGGGAGGAAGAGGACGGCCCCUGCCUCCAGGGCUUGCAGCGCCGUCCAGGCCCGAGAGGAGGACUGGGAAGUGCCACGACGCCGGGAUUAGGGCAGGCCCGUGGACUGGGACCCCGGACUUCCUCACCUCCUUUCUGGGCCUUGAUUUCAGCUGAUUACAGGGAGGAGAGAAUUCAAGCUGCCCCAGAAGCUGGAAACGGUCGGAUCCUGCCACCUGCUGGCAGCUUCCGGCUCUGCCUGGGCUCCGUCUGAGCGAGGUAGUAUUCCGUCUCAGAGGGUCCUCUGAGCGCCCUAUGUCUGGCACCCCCAAAAUACUCUUCCAGUACAACCCGGGAGACGCUUUUCUCCGCAGCAGCGCCCCUUACAGCUUCUCUCAGUGCCUGGCUUCUUCCAUAAGAGUUACGGCUUGCUUGUCUUUCCUGGAGAGAAAAUAAGGAGUAGAAACCCACCUGGCAUAAAAUAGAUUAUUAUUUCUGCUAUGGCAUCUCAGCAACAUGAGGACACUUGUGUUGCUAAAAUGUUCACUUUACGGGAUGGAGACUUUGACAAGCAGUAAGCACACCCAAAAGAAGCUUAAAACCAGCCAGGGCUGGGGUGUGGGUCAGUAGCAGAGUGUUACCAUGCACGAAGCCCUGGAUUUGUUUCCCAGUACAUGCACACACUCCAAAAUCACAGAUUACUUUUCUCACAAUUUUUGUUUUUCUUAUUGUAAAAAAAAGUGUUCAUUGUGGAUAAUCAAAAAAUGAAAAAGGCUAUUUACUAAGACUGGAAUAACUUUGAGGACGUUUUUGCAUGGAUAAUAAAAGAUUCCAAGUAGAUAGCUAUUAGACACCCAAGUGGAGAAGGAAUAUCAGUUGAGACUUUGUCAUUACUUUGAUAACUUUUAAAUUUAAUUUCUGCUUGUAUAUGAAUGCAUAUAUGUACAAUAUAUAAAUACAAAAAUGUGAGUUUCUUUACAAAAACAAAAAAAUGAAAAAGCCAUACUCCUGCUAUGGUGGUUGAGUUUUAUGUGGUCAACUUACUUAGCUUGGGAGCUGCACACUUCUAGGG